GGACAGUGGGAUGGAGCCAGAAACCUGUGGCUGCAAAUCCACUUGUUUCACACUGAUGCACCAAUUGCCUCUGGCAUGAAUUUCAUUUCAAGGCUAAAAUCCGUCCUGAUGUGCUGAAGUAAUUUUGGCUGUUGGAGCGACAGGUACGAUACAGGGCUGCAAGCAAUACUGGAGGCUAAUUUGGGCACCACAGUUUUCUUACACAGAAAAAAGAAAAUGUGUGAAGAUUGCAAUGGAUUGCAAUGGAUAUUAGCAUUUGGUCUCCUCACAUGACCAAUAAAUGGUUCAAUGCACACACACUACAUUUUUAUCCUGCUUCUUCCCAUAAUGACUGAGAAGGUUCUCUUUCCACCCCUGGUAAUUCAGGAUGCCUGGAAGAAUCUUUCUGUCCCAAAGGAUGGAUUACCAACUGGGAAAUGUUCCAGGGAGUGCAGGCCAGCAGUGAGUGUGAAAGCCUCCUACAAAAAUGUUGCUCUGUUUCCUACCUGGUACUGAGAGCAGGGAUAGACAAAUCCAUCAGUUUUACUUUUCCUCACAUUCAAUUAAAAAAAUCAAGUUAUUUCUCUACUCUUGAUGAAGAAAUUCAGUGAGCUCUUAUUGAACAACAAACCCACCUGCACCAAAUUCAAUAGAUCCAGCUAUUCCAAGCAUGGAGAUUAUUAAGUUGUACCUGCUUUUCAGGUACCAGUUAAAGGUGAGAAAAAAGAAGCUGGAGAGCCUGAUUCAGCACCACAAACAGGUUGACUUCCCAAGGAUUCAAACACAGCUUUUCAAGAAAUAAAUGCUCAAAACACUUUGCUUGGAUUGAUGAUGCUUCCAGUUUCAGUUUUUCUCACAUUCAUUUUUUUAAUCAAGUUAUUUCCAUCCCAUUUAUGAAGGUAUUUGUUCAAAAAACUAAGCAGACAAUAUAGUCAUCACUAAAAUGGAGAUGGUAGAACCUAGGGCCAUCUACCACUAUGCACAGCUUUGGGGGAGAUGCUACCUAGCCAUGGGAAUAAACCUUGCAAGUAACUUCUCCAAGAUCGUACACAAGUGUAUGGGUGGGGUAGAAAAAAAUGUGAAAAAGCACAAGCCCAGAACCUCUCAAGUGGUCUGAUCCUCAUGAUAAAUUAGGCAGUGUUUCUUCAGUUAGUUCAGUAAGAGCAGCUAAACUGUCCCAGCCUGAAUCUUGCUAUAGCCGUAACGGAUGCACCUGCCCCCCUUCUGACCUGGUUCAAUUCAGCUUUCCAUCUAGGCUUGUGUCUGGCAGGACUUCUGUGUUGUGCCACCAUGGGAGCAGCUUUCCUGGCCAUGAAGAUACACAGAUGGGAAACCGCUUUACCUGUGAAAUUGCUGCCUUUCCUCCUGCUUGUUACAGGCUCAGAAAAAAGAUGGAAACAUAUCUGAGAAGGCUGAAACAUUUCUAUAAUUUGUUGCAUGUCACAAUUGGUUCUCAUCAGGAGAAUCUGUAGCAAUGUAGAGGGACUGUAACUCAGCAGAGGCAGGUGUAAACAGCUGCCAGUUAAAUCAAUAAUAUUCAGAUGGCAUGAAUUAAUUACAAUUGAGCCACUAUUGAUUUUUUUUGCACUCAAGACAAGGAUAUAUUCAUAAAAUUAAAUUAAAGAAAAACUAUCCAUUGCUUGGAGGAAGCUCCUCAGUUGUUUGAGAAAGUUCUGAGGGACACUGGGAAGGCAGAAUUUCCUUCUGACAGAUUACAGCAGCUUUCCAUGGUUGUUUCUAUGCAGAUGCUUUGGACUGCAAAAGAAGUAGCAGGAGUUGCAGUCCAAAACAUCUAGAGCAUUUCAAGUUGGAGAAAGAUGGACAACAGUAUUCCUUAUUUGUUUCAUAUAUUUAUCUCCUGCCUUUUUCCUGCUAAGGUGGCUUACAAAUUUCUCUCCAUUUUAUUUGCACAACACCACCAUGAAGUAGGUUAAAAUGAGAAUCAAUGACUAGGCCAAAGUUACCCAGUGAACUUUGUAGCCAAGUGGAAGCUAGAACUCAGAUCUCCUGGGUCCCAAUCCGGCAUUCCAGCCACUCCACCACACUGGUUGCGUUGUCAUCGUCAGUCCUUUUAAGAUGACAAACGAGAUGAUUAAUGCAUGGAGGCAAGUGGGGUGGGGAAAUUACACCCAGUAGCCUCCCCUGCAACCUUUGUGUGCUUGCAUGGAGGUGGUGCCAGGUUAGCCCAGCGUGUGUGACCCCACUGCUUUCUUCUGCUCCUACCCACUCAUUCUUCAGAGCUGUCGUGAGGGCUAUUGGUUACAGCGCCAUUUAUGAGCCAAGCCACACAUUACAUUAAGCUCACAGUUUGCUGAUGAGUAUAUGUAGGUGUGUGUUGUCUUUUACAAACAGCUGCUGCAGAGACUUGGCCAGAACAGGGGCUGUGCCUGUGAGGAGGGGCCAAAUUCACUUUCCUCCCAUGCUGCAGCAUCAAGAUCAAUCACUCCCACCUCCAAAACCACAAUUUAGAUCAAUAAGUCAGUUUCCAUUGGUGCAGCAGUAGCUUUCCAUGGGAAACUGCAGCUCUGAGGGAUGGAGGAGAGGCAGCUUGGGGCAGGACCAAGACACGAAAGAAUGUCCACAGUCCCAACACUGAUGUUCUUUUAAAAGAAAACAGCUUUCACGUGUGCUCAUGCACACAUUAAAAAUGCACAAGCAAACACUGGCACCAGUCAGUGAGAGGGCUGGCCAGCGUUAAAGGGACAGAGUUCUCAGGGACAGAGUCUUCAGAGCUUGGGUGAGAUGGAGAAAUAGCUGGCAACUGCGACAUCUACUGCACUACCUGGUCUGUGCUAGGAGCUGGGUUGUGUCACAUCAGCCUCUGGUGGGCACCACGAAACCUCUAGACUGGCUGAGCCUGGUAUAAAGAACUGCAGUCUAGUCUCUUGCCCUUGCCUGCUCAACAGUGGCCUCUCUAUCUGCUACACUUCAGCCUCCUGGCUUCUAGCCCAGAAUCCAACCAUAGUUGGCAGAUCU
Molecule: long non-coding RNA, 2955 nt
Filed under: Varanus komodoensis (Komodo dragon)
Lineage: Eukaryota; Metazoa; Chordata; Lepidosauria; Squamata; Varanidae
Description: lncRNA (ENSVKKG00000010302.1)
Source: RNAcentral